AUUGAACGCUGGCGGCAUGCCUUACACAUGCAAGUCGAACGGCAGCGCGGGAGCAAUCCUGGCGGCGAGUGGCGAACGGGUGAGUAGUGCAUCGGAACGUGCCCAGUUGUGGGGAUAGCCCGGCGAAAGCCGGAUUAAUACCGCAUGAGACCUGAGGGUGAAAGCGGGGGAUCGAAAGACCUCGCGCGACUGGAGCGGCCGAUGUCAGAUUAGGUAGUUGGUGGGGUAAGGGCCUACCAAGCCUGCGAUCUGUAGCUGGUCUGAGAGGACGACCAGCAACACGGGGAAUGAGAGACGGCCCAGACUCCUACGGGAGGCAGCAGUGGGGAAUUUUGGAAAAUGGGCGCAAGCCUGAUCCAGCCAUGCCGCGUGCGGGAAGAAGGCCUUCGGGUUGUAAACCGCUUUUGUCGGGGAAGAAACGGCCUGGGCUAAUACCUUGGGCUAAUGAUGGUACCCGAAGAAUAAGCACCGGCUAACUACGUGCCAGCCGCCGCAGUAA
RNAcentral lists this ribosomal RNA (499 nucleotides) under uncultured bacterium. RNAcentral describes it as "partial 16S ribosomal RNA". It matches the Rfam family "Bacterial small subunit ribosomal RNA", at positions 29 to 523 of the family's 1533-position model. The record is from RNAcentral.